This 73-nucleotide transfer RNA is filed under the name Candidatus Peribacteria bacterium. RNAcentral's name for it is "tRNA-Asn". It matches the Rfam family "tRNA". Rfam says of the family: Transfer RNA (tRNA) molecules are approximately 80 nucleotides in length. The record is from RNAcentral. Lineage: Bacteria; Candidatus Peregrinibacteriota; Candidatus Peribacteria.
UAUGGGGUAGCUCAGUGGCUAGAGCACAACACUAUUAAUGUUGGGGUCAGGGGUUCGAGUCCCUUCCUCAUGG